UAGGGAAUCUUCGGCAAUGGACGAAAGUCUGACCGAGCAACGCCGCGUGAGUGAAGAAGGUUUUCGGAUCGUAAAACUCUGUUGUUAGAGAAGAACAAGGACGUUAGUAACUGAACGUCCCCUGACGGUAUCUAACCAGAAAGCCACGGCUAACUACGUGCCAGCAGCCGCGGUAAUACGUAGGUGGCAAGCGUUGUCCGGAUUUAUUGGGCGUAAAGCGAGCGCAGGCGGUUUCUUAAGUCUGAUGUGAAAGCCCCCGGCUCAACCGGGGAGGGUCAUUAGAAACUGGGAGACUUGAGUGCAGAAGAGGAGAGUGGAAUUCCAUGUGUAGCGGGGAAAUGCGUAGAUAUAUGGAGGAACACCAGUGGCGAAGGCGGCUCUCUGGUCUGUAACUGACGCUGAGGCUCGAAAGCGUGGGGGGCAAACAGG
Molecule: ribosomal RNA, 429 nt
Filed under: Gemmatimonadota bacterium
Lineage: Bacteria; Pseudomonadati; Gemmatimonadota
Description: Gemmatimonadetes bacterium partial 16S ribosomal RNA
Rfam family: Bacterial small subunit ribosomal RNA
Source: RNAcentral